This 505-nucleotide ribosomal RNA is filed under the name uncultured bacterium. RNAcentral describes it as "partial 16S ribosomal RNA". It matches the Rfam family "Bacterial small subunit ribosomal RNA", at positions 28 to 507 of the family's 1533-position model. The record is from RNAcentral.
GACGAACGCUGGCGGCGUGCCUAAUACAUGCAAGUAGAACGCACAGUUUAUACCGUAGCUUGCUACACCAUAGACUGUGAGUUGCGAACGGGUGAGUAACGCGUAGGUAACCUGCCUGGUAGCGGGGGAUAACUAUUGGAAACGAUAGCUAAUACCGCAUAAUAUUAAUUAUUGCAUGAUAAUUAAUUGAAAGGUGCAAUUGCACCACUACCAGAUGGACCUGCGUUGUAUUAGCUAGUAGGUGAGGUAACGGCUCACCUAGGCGACGAUACAUAGCCGACCUGAGAGGGUGAGCGGCCACACUGGGAGUGAGACACGGCCCAGACUCCUACGGGAGGCAGCAGUAGGGAAUCGUCGGCAAUGGACGAAAGUCUGACCGAGCAACGCCGCGUGAGUGAAGAAGGAUUUCGGAUCGUAAAGCUCUGUUGUAAGAGAAGAACGGGUGUGAGAGUGGAAAGUUCACACUGUGACGGUAUCUUACCAGAAAGGGACGGCUAACUACGUG